RNAcentral lists this long non-coding RNA (2519 nucleotides) under Ananas comosus (pineapple). RNAcentral describes it as "long non-coding RNA (ACOM_LNC043135)". The record is from RNAcentral. Lineage: Eukaryota; Viridiplantae; Streptophyta; Magnoliopsida; Poales; Bromeliaceae.
UUAACGAAAUAAGUUUAAUAUUUUUUAACAUUAAUUAUCUAAUCACUAAAUUUUUUAUUAAAAAUUUGAGUCGUUAAAAUCUUAUUUAUCUGCUAAAAUUUUUAUUUGUAUAUAUUUUGGCCACCCUUGUGAUUGAAUACUGGCUCGUUCCUGCUUCUAUAUCUCAUAUAUAAUUCUAACAACCACAUAAAAAUUUGGGAUAAUUGUCUAUAUACCCCUUAUAUGUUUGAAAAUAUUUGAUUUACCCAUACUUUUUUUUUUCUUUCUAAAAUACCCCUCGUAUGUUCCACCGUUAUUGCAAAAUACCCUAGCAGUUAUCUCCUGUUAAGUUAAUUUGGGUUAAACGUGAGUUAAACAUCUACCACAGUUAAAAAAAUAAAAAUACCAAUUUUACCCUUAACUUAAGGGCAAAUAAGAAAUGUUGGUGACGGUAGAGAGGUAUAUUGGAAAAGACCAAAAGUCAAAAUACUUUUGUGCCUCUGACUUUAAGAGCAAAUAAGAAAGUUAGUGAUGGUGGAAGGGUAUAUUUGAAAGGGCAAAAUAAUAAUUUUACAGAGAUAACAGAAUUCAUUAACGGAUUUUAAUUUUAGGGGUUUAUUAUAAAUAGGUUGAAACAUAGAAAGAGUAUUUUCAAUAUUAGCCUUCUAAGAGGGGUAAAUCAAAAAGUCGGGAACUUUUCAGGGGUAUAUAAGCAAUUGCCCCUAAAAAUUUCAACAAGUCACAUAUAAUCUUAACAACCUGAAAAUUCUAAUAAUCUAUCCAAACAAACCUACCAAUCAAAUAAAAAUUCUAAUAAUUCACGUAUAAUCCUAAUAACCACACUUUCCAUAUAAUUCACUUGCUAUUGAAGACGGCGAAUAGUUAACUGUCUUAAUAAAUGCGGUGAACGAUUCACCACCUUUAAAAGGCCUGGGAGACUUUCAGAAUACAGUGAAUAAUUUACUGCGUAUCGGAAAAAAAUCUUACUUGGCUCCUACGUGGCGAAGAGAUGGUUAGUUUGCCAAAUAUAAAUUUGUAUUUCACAAGUUCUAAAAUUUUAGAAAGUUAUUUUGUAAAAAAGUUUCAGAUCAACUUUGUUAUUAAGGUAUCGUUUGGUUCGAGAAUAAGAGGGAGAAUAAGCCCUUGUUUCCCCCUUUUAUUUCCAAAUGUAAAUGUUUAUAUCCAAGAACAGUAGUUCUCGUGUCUCUGGAAUAAGUUGGUAUAAUCCGGUAUAAGUAUGAAACUAUUUUUCCACCCUUUUUCCUGAAACAAGGUUAAUUAAAGUCUAAAUUUAUUUUAAUUCUGGUAUUAAUUCAUUAAUUAAUGUAAUUAAUAUAUUUAAAUCAUUAUUCAUUGCUUAAAUAAUAAAGUAAUUAAUUAACUUAUUACUGAUAAUUAAUUAGCUAGUUAACUAUUAAUAAUUUAAUUGUUAUUUAUAAACUAAUAUUUAUAUUGAUCAACCAUUAAUAUUUUUAUUAUUCUAAUUAAUUUUUUUACUAGUUAUCUAACUAAAAUAAUUUACUAAAUAAUUAAAAAGUUAAAUUAUUUUUUAUAUUUAAUUGAUUAAUUAAUAUAUUUUUAUUAUCUUAUACAAUAUUCAUAGCUAAUAAAUUUAUUAAUUUAUUAAAUUAUUUUUAAUUAAUAUUUUGAUAUUAAUUAAUUAGAUAAAAUAUUUCUAAUUUAAAGUUAUAACUCUUAUUUAUAUUGUUCCAAUCUAACCGUCCAAACAUUAUUUACCUUAUUCCCAGUAACAACCCAAUUUAUUUUCAAAUACAAAAUUAAUCUAGUUUUUGUUUAUAUUUAAACUUGUACCUAUUUCUAGAAUAAACAGUUCUUGUUUAUAUCUGAUCAAACGUAGCCUUAAAAUGUCUACUAUGGAAUUGAGCUACAGAGCCCUUGAACUUUUACUCUAAUUUUCACUUUUUAAAACACAAAUGCACGAAAAUAAUUUUUCUAGCCGAAAAAUAAUUUUUGUUACUUUUUACAGCAAUUCAAACGCAACGUAGGUUCUAAAACAUCUAAAGCUUUGCGAGCUUGUUGUUUUUGGAACGAAAAUUAUUUUGCUUAUAAACAAAUCUCAUAAUAUUUUAUAACUAUUAUAAUUUAGGGUUAAUUGCAUAAAAAUCCCUACAAACAUUAUGAAUUACAGAUAAAUUUCUAUAAAAUUUAAUUUUCAUAAGUUAUUCCUGUAAAAGUCCUUAUGUAUUCAAAUGUGUCGCUACCGUUAGUAUCCGUUAGAGAAAUUUAGUUAACCACAGUUAACUACAUUUUUAAAAAAUUAAUUGCAUAUUGGUCCCCAACCUUUUCGCUAUUUUUAUUUUGGUCUCUAAUUUCUUUUGCAAUUAAAUUUUCAAAUCUCUUAAUUUCAAUGCAAUAAAGGACACUAUUAAUUAAAAGUCCCUAAAGAAGGCCUCUCCUUAUUUUGGGGGGUGUUGUGGGGCCCACAUACAAUUUUUUUUUAAGAAUUAAUCGCACUUGGUCCCAACAUUUUCGCUAUUUUUUAUUUUGGUCCUUAAUUUUUUUUUUUUUUGCAAUUAAAU